Long non-coding RNA from Bolinopsis microptera, 1186 nucleotides. RefSeq lists it as uncharacterized. The record is from RefSeq and is a predicted model, not a curated record. The transcript is spliced from 2 exons. NCBI's taxonomy places the organism in Eukaryota, Metazoa, Ctenophora, Tentaculata, Lobata, Bolinopsidae.
AAAGCAGAGAGACGAACUAGAACAGUGGAAAUUAUGUGUCCUUCUCAUGCCAUGUCAACUGUCGGCUGGAAGAUGCGACAUAACCCCAUAGACAACAGCACGGAGCACAAGGUGAAAUGUUGUGAAUUACUCCUGGUGCCCAGCGAGAUUCAAGAGGCCGUGUCGGACGGUGAAACGUGACGUCAUCAUUUCAUCACUGCAACGCUCAGCACUCUACUCCACUCCACUUGACUGCACAACCUUCGUGUUCCGGAAAUCCAGCGACUGGACUUCAUUAAGUUUAGGCGAAUCGUGCUGGCCACGAACAUCUUUUUAUCUAGGGAACUUUUAAACUUGCUAAUCAACUGAAAAAUGAUUGUGGUGACUUGGUUUGAUUAACAAAGUCACAAACAAACAGAUAAAUCUUUAAAAUGAUACUUCAAUUUUAAUUCGAAUCUUUAACAUUAAGUAUCGAUCGGGACAACGAAAUUGUAAAGAGAAAGUUAAAAUUGUAGCUGUAGGGACUAAAUUCUUAAUGUUAGGAAUUUAAUUAAUAAUUAGUCAAAGUUACAUGAUCCUGUCGUGUGAUUUUGUGGCAUGAAAUAACUUUAAACUAACUUAUUUGUUGCAUGUUUUUCAAAUGCUAUAUAAUGACAUAUUUUCAAUAUUCAUCUUCUAUCUUCUAUGUUCUAAAGUUUUUCGAUAACGUCGAGUUAUUAUAAUUUUUUAUAUUUGGUGCAACUUCAUAUUUUUUCAUUGAUAUACUUUUACGUUUUUGAAUGCGCUGUUCAAUAAACGAUAAACUCUUUGUUUAACGACUUUAGCUAAUUCGUAAAAGCAUAAUUCGUUAAGUUCCAUAGCAAAUCUAUUGAUUAUAAUAUUAUCUAUUAGAUCCUAAAAUAAUUGACGUAUAGCUCUAGCUAGUUUAAUGCUCACAAAUCCAUACCUAAAUUAUUUAUUACUAUUCUCUUUUCGCUCAGCUUACGACGGACUUUGGCAUCGUUAAACUCUUCUUUUAUUUCAAAAUGUUAAGUUUAUUUCCAACUUGUUGCAUCGUUUUUGAUUGAGUGAAAACAAAAGAAUUGUGUGCGUAGUGCGAUCAGUACAUUUAGCCUAGAUAGUAAGCGAGACGUGCUAUUUAUUUCAUGUUCUACAUAGGUCAAUUGUAUUUUGAUUUCAAUCCCCUUAUAAUUUCAAACCAAAAUCA